UGUGACUGCGUACAUUUUGUAUAAUGGGUCAACGAAUUAAAUUCAGUAGCGAGCUUAACCGGAUAGGGGAGUCGUAGGGAAACCGAGUCUUAAUAGGGCGAUGAGUUGCUGGGUGUAGACCCGAAACCGAGUUAUCUAUCCAUGGCCAGGUUGAAGGUGCCGUAACAGGUACUGGAGGACCGAACCCACGCAUGUUUCAAAAUGCGGGUAUGAGCUGUGGGUAGGGUUGAAAGGCUA
This 237-nucleotide ribosomal RNA is filed under the name Staphylococcus aureus. Its description in RNAcentral is "partial 23S ribosomal RNA". It matches the Rfam family "Bacterial large subunit ribosomal RNA", at positions 592 to 831 of the family's 2925-position model. Lineage: Bacteria; Bacillati; Bacillota; Bacilli; Caryophanales; Staphylococcaceae. The record is from RNAcentral.